AUGCUUCUUAAUGUGCUUUCUAAAAAUAAAAUUACAUUCAGGUAUACAGCUCUCCCGGCUUCCCAAUGCUCAGGGAAUUGUCUUAAUGCAAAUUCUAUAACGGCCUUGUUUCAAAGCAAACCCGGCUCCGGCUCCGUCAGUGCCCUACAGAUGCUCCGUGCACUUUCAGAAGGAYGCCAGGCGCCUGUCUGCUACGCAGGGGUCCAAAUUUCAGCUCAUCUCAGGUCAGUGGAAAGUCAGGAGACUUGGCACGGUCAGACCCUACGUGAGAGCCAGGGUCACCUCUCCAGCAUAUUURGGCACGGCCACGCUGAGGGCCCUCUGCUCCACGACCAGGAGCUGUCGGAGGUCAGCACCAAAGUCCCCCCCCGGCACGUGCGACGUGGGGCUUGCUGUCACCAGAGCGGUAGCAGACACCGCCAAGGUUUGCCCUGGGAGGUAUCCCAGCUGGAGAGCAGCACUGGUUUGAAUUAUACAGCAGGCUGUUGUGCAGAAGACUCAUUUGCAGUAAUUAGAAGCAUCAUGUGCUGGCACGGGAGGACUUCAAAGAGCACCCAGAGCCUAGACGGCAAAAGUCACCCUUUUGGUGGUCAACAUGCAAAAUUCACACGUGCCCCAGAGCAUCUCUUAAUAAACCAAAAUCAUGCAGAAUUCUCUUUUUCAGCUCCCUGCAACACUGCUUCCAAGGAAAGUAAAGAUUCGUGCUCUGUUACAUCUUUCAACACGUGCAGCUCACAUACGUGCGCACACAUACACCCCCCACCCAUGCAGACGUACGCUCUGCUUUUCUUCUGCCUUUCGCUAAAACUGAACACAAACAAGGGCCCGUGUAUAUUGAAAUCCGUAGGAAGCUUAACAUUUACUUGGCUUUUGUGUAAACACUUACGUGAAUUACAGAAGUUUCAGCCAAGAGGCUGGGAACCCCGUUGUGCAAAGCCAUAUAAUUCAUUACAAUUAAAAGCACGGAGAGAGGCAAUCAGGCUUGCACGACAGCGGGCUGUUAUGGAUUUGCUCUUCCAAAUGGAAUCCAAUUUGUCUUCCCAGCAACGCAGCUUCCCCGCGAGAAACCUCUUCGCCUUGCAGCGCCCUUCCUGCACGCCGACCGCAGCCCGCGGCUGCCCGUCCCUUAGCUGUCACCGGCUUUGCUACCGGAGGCUGCUCGACUCACAGCCCCGGCCACGCUGCUUAGAAACACAGCGAAAAAUGAGUUUUUUCAAAGCACAGGCAAGGUGGGGUGGUGGCACCCAAUGGCAGCUGAAUUACGGGAAACUCAAGGGAUGGGUGAAUCCCACCUCCCGAACUGUCCCGGCCACAGCUGGACCAUGCCAAACCCCGCGAUGCUCAACAGCUCCACCAUGCCAAGACAUCUGCGCCCGAGGAGGGUCGGGGUCCUCCCACGGGAGUGCUCUGAGCCGGGCACGGGGCUUGGGGCGCAGGGUGCUGCGCRGGUUUUUGUCAGGGCUGGGCCUCCCUAGGUGA
This 1479-nucleotide long non-coding RNA is filed under the name Apteryx haastii (Great spotted kiwi). RNAcentral's name for it is "lncRNA (ENSAHAG00000017381.1)". The record is from RNAcentral. Lineage: Eukaryota; Metazoa; Chordata; Aves; Apterygiformes; Apterygidae.